Long non-coding RNA from Vombatus ursinus (common wombat), 594 nucleotides. RefSeq lists it as uncharacterized. Lineage: Eukaryota; Metazoa; Chordata; Mammalia; Diprotodontia; Vombatidae. The transcript has 4 exons. The record is from RefSeq and is a predicted model, not a curated record.
UGCGGUGAUUCAGGUUAGUCAUGGGUGAUAAGAUCGCCAUCUUCAAACAUCUGAAGGACUGUCGUAUAUGAGAGGGAUUGGAUUUCUUUGGUUUGGCUCCAGAGAAUGGAACUGAGAGCAAUGGAAUGGAAGUUGUGAAAGGCAAAUUUCAUCUCAAUACAAGUAACUGAAGAAAGACUGAAAAAAGACCCAGAUCUCCUGACUCCAUGCUGCUUCUUGAAAAAGGAGUGAUCUGUAAAGGAUUUAUUGCAAUAGCCCAUGUCUUGGGAAACACUUCAUCUAUAAAUGCUACUGGGAUAAUCUGGUUUAGCUGGGUCAAAUGACAAGCUUUCUGCAGAAUCGUUUUCUCCUCUGCUGCUUUCGAGUGUUUCCAACAAGCAAAAUCCACAAUAAUUUUAAAGAGAAGAUUCCAACUCUGACUUUCCCUGUCAUCUUGGCUCAAGACUGGCAUGGGAGUGGAAAAAUGAAAACUAUCCUGAACAGGGAAUAGCAUUCUGGACUUGGAUUAAGGAAGAUCUGGGCUCUGAUCUGAGCCCAGACAUUUACUGAACUACCUGUAUGACCUUGGGCAAGUUACUUAACCUCCCUGAUCUA